This 504-nucleotide ribosomal RNA is filed under the name Streptomyces sp. 310B08. RNAcentral describes it as "bacterial SSU rRNA". It matches the Rfam family "Bacterial small subunit ribosomal RNA", at positions 93 to 611 of the family's 1533-position model. Lineage: Bacteria; Bacillati; Actinomycetota; Actinomycetes; Kitasatosporales; Streptomycetaceae. The record is from RNAcentral.
UAGUGGCGAACGGGUGAGUAACACGUGGGCAAUCUGCCCUUCACUCUGGGACAAGCCCUGGAAACGGGGUCUAAUACCGGAUAACACCUGCCCGGGCAUCCGGGUGGGUUAAAAGCUCCGGCGGUGAAGGAUGAGCCCGCGGCCUAUCAGCUUGUUGGUGAGGUAGUGGCUCACCAAGGCGACGACGGGUAGCCGGCCUGAGAGGGCGACCGGCCACACUGGGACUGAGACACGGCCCAGACUCCUACGGGAGGCAGCAGUGGGGAAUAUUGCACAAUGGGCGAAAGCCUGAUGCAGCGACGCCGCGUGAGGGAUGACGGCCUUCGGGUUGUAAACCUCUUUCAGCAGGGAAGAAGCGAAAGUGACGGUACCUGCAGAAGAAGCGCCGGCUAACUACGUGCCAGCAGCCGCGGUAAUACGUAGGGCGCAAGCGUUGUCCGGAAUUAUUGGGCGUAAAGAGCUCGUAGGCGGCUUGUCACGUCGGGUGUGAAAGCCCGGGGCUUA